CUGAGUCUUGCGUAUACAUCUGUCCCACGUUGAUCAUUAAAAUUUCAAUUAUUGUAUAUAAAUUAUAAUAUAGUAUUUUGUGAAAGAAACAUAAACGAACAACAAUCAUGGAGAUUAUGGAAGAUGGCAACUUAGUAGAUCGCGUUAGAAUUUUGUUGCAACGCGACAUGCAAUAUUAUCAGGAGAUGCAGACGGUGUUAAAAGAGCCACUGUGCACGCGAAUAUGCGGUGGAAAACUUGACUUUCCAAGGCACGCUUCUUUCGCUGCCAUUAAAAUUGUCACAUGGUGGGAAUUAGACUUCCAAGCAACUUUCAAACGCCAUUCUGGGUUAACAAGUUUUGAAGCUGCUGAUAGUGCAGGAACCGAAGACAAGGUCAUUAAACAAAUUCUGCCAUCCGAAUUUGUAUUAACAGUAGUUGAUACUGCUGAUCAAUUAUUAGAACACUUGCAUUUGCUCAUUCAAGAGUCAUUGGAUCAUGCAGACUUAACAGUAUUAACAGCCACAUUGGGUGCAGCAGCAUUGGUCAGAAAUUGUUUAUGGUGUUAUAGUCAACAGUCUAAAAGCACAGUUUCUGCACAGACAGGCGAAAAGAUAAACAAGUCGUAUAAAUCGUAUCAUGAGAUGGCUGAAGCUGUAGCAGAAAGAUUACUCGACUUACAUUGCCGCUUAAUUUCAUUGUACAUCCUCAAUGAGGCAGACUCUCUUAAUUGGCACGACACAAAAUCGUUUUUCGAACGCGAACGCUGCUCCUUUGUGAUACAAAUGUGGUGGCUGUAUAUGCAAGGAACAAAAACUGACUUGUGGGACACUGUUUCGCCCAAAAUGGCGCAGCGUAUUUUCACCGGGAUGCUGAACGAAUCGUUGUCCAUUAUUGUGACACGAUUCAUUUAUGCUCGACCAAGUUUAGCACGAGCCGAACAAUUUUGGACGGAUGCCUUUAAUGUACUUUGUUGCACCGGAUAUCUUGCUUUGAACGCCUGCCUCAGCGUCAGCGAAAUGAUUGGAAUGAAAUUAAAUAAAUUACCCGUCGCCAUUAGAGAUAUUCAUGCUAAAUGUAACGAAUUGUUUAUUUGCUUAUUACUGAGGGGCACGCCACUUCAAGAAUUGUAUCAGGCUUUCCGUGGAGGCUUCGACAAUUUAAAAAUUUCACAACCGCGUCUCGGACCUGCACCCUGGCUGCUAAUAUGCGCGCCCAAUUUAUCAGGAUCAAUCGAUUCUAACGUCUACAUCACAAGUCUGCCUGAAGACAGAGCAGUAAUUCUAGAAUUGAAUAUACUUAGACACCAACCACAACCAAAUUGGCCUCAAAUAAUAAAGGUAAUUUCUAUGGACGACUACGCCGUAUCCAAGAUCUUAUUGGACAUUUUAAUUCACGAUUGCGGUGAUUACACGUCCGAGGACAAUUACUACGCUUCGAAGACUUUCGAAAAAGAUGUGAAAAACUGUGGAGGUUUCCUUUGUAACACUGCAUUGUGCAAUCAUUUUAUAAAAUCAACGUCACCCUUAAACCUGUAUAGUCUAAUGCAUGUUUUGAGUUACAUAGUGCAGGAACCUGACCGUGUUAUCGUGCCAUGCUUGAAACAGAAUCAUAACUGGUCCAAUUACCUCAAUCGGCAACAGGUAUGGAAUCAAUGCAGGCCCCCUUGGUUGAAUGCAAUUUUAAAACCGUUGAAGAACAUGAUGCCACCGAUCAUUGAAUUGUUACUUGAAGCAGCAAAAACAGGGGCCAGCAUGUAUCAGGCGAUGUCGCUAGUAAUCGGCUGCUUCGCCGAAUUAUAUAUAACAUUACCAACCACCAUUUUGAAGAUCGCUCUCGCGUUAAAUGACAAUGUCCCGGCUCAUUGCCACCCGAUCGGCGGGAACGUUCUUUUCCAUAUUUUGUGCACGUCCCUUUAUUCCGCUCUCUUCGAGUUCUCGGGAAGCUGCAAGCUAGAAACGGACGUCGACUCACCACCCAAAGGAACGAUCCACGAAUUGAGCUUGUUCGAAUCCAACGAUGAUUCGACGAUAGCCACUAUCUUGGCUGAAGCAAUCUGUAGCAUCGACGAGGACAAUAAACACACGUCUCAGAUCGAUGACUUCUACCAGCUAGUGAAUCAGAAUAUUCAAAGAAUGAACGCGCAUCCUCGCGAUAAGGAGGUAGCUGGCAUGGCUUCCAUCAUAGAAACAUGCACUGACGAACUAUUGUUUACCGAAUCUGGGCGGCAAGCAUUAAAAGACCCCGAAGGCUCGUCGCAACCCCUAGAGGAUAAAUCUCACCGGUGAACUCAUACAUUCUAUCCCCAGCCUGUCUGAUAGACUGUACAGUGAUUGCAUGCCAUUUGUCCACUUGAUGAGACAUGUUCAAACGAACUAUGUUUGCACCGGCCAUCAUCAUAUUGACGAUAGCUCCAGGAUCAGAGUUCGCGACACCUAGAUCAAACGUAAAUAAUUGAGAAAAUUCAACUCUAUCUGUGCUGUCUGUUAGAAACAUCACAAAACAACUUCACCAGCCUCUACCAUCAUUUCAUCUAUAAUAAUCAAGUUCAUACACAUCAGGUUGUAUCGAAAUUACAAUUCAGAGCUCCAACAAUACUUCAUGCUGACUCGCCACAAGACCUGCGGAAGUCGGCGGUGUAAUCUGGACUAUCACUAUCAUUCUACACAUCUGCAUACGAUAGUUGCAAUGGUCCCGGUUCAAGUAACAAAGUUCCAGUCACCUUAUAUUAUGUAUGCAAAGUCGAAUGACAAGGAUUGCUAGACUGCAGAUUUUUAUGCAAGAUAAAAAUGAUCCAUAUCAAUUGUAAAAAGCAGUAGCUUGAAAUUUCUUCCUUUGUUCAACAAUCUCUACGUAAAUUGUGAAUAAUGCAUCAUUUUUAAAUCCUUCGAAUCCUUCCACUGAUCCAAAUUUCUUCUACUC
Molecule: non-coding RNA, 2901 nt
Organism: Megalopta genalis
Lineage: Eukaryota; Metazoa; Arthropoda; Insecta; Hymenoptera; Halictidae
Source: RefSeq, a predicted model, not a curated record